This 2043-nucleotide long non-coding RNA is filed under the name Olea europaea (common olive). RNAcentral describes it as "long non-coding RNA (OEUR_LNC010232)". The record is from RNAcentral. Lineage: Eukaryota; Viridiplantae; Streptophyta; Magnoliopsida; Lamiales; Oleaceae.
UCGAAACAAAAUUUGGCAAUGGGCAUGUAAUUUACAACUCGCAAAAUCCUAAAAUCUGAACUAUUUAUUAAUUCUUAAUCCAAUGGUAGAUAUGAAAUUGAUGAAAAUACGACCGUUAUGCAGACAUGAUUUAUAACCCCCUUGCUCAUUAAAGAAAAGCAGUUAGUCUUCGGGGUUUUCUAUCAAUGUUUAGAGCGAUGAGUCUUAGGGGUUUUCUAUCAUUAAGAACUAGACAAGUAUUUUUGAAGAUGGAUCCAAGUACUGUACCAAGAAAAAAUGUACCAAGAAAAAUAGGCGACUCACUUUUUAAAGAUAAUUUCUAUAAUUUCUUUUGCUAUAUGAUUAUCAUGUUUUUUAUUCAUGCAUAGAAUGAAUCUUGAAGGAUAGUUUAAAUUCAGGGUUUUUGUUCUUUGCUUCAACUGAUGAUCAAUUUGGGUGAAACAUUGGGAUUUGUUUUUGUGAAUUUCUGAAGGCUUCAUCUAUUUUUUUAUUUUUUUUGCCCUUCCUGACCGUUGUCUCCUGUUAUCAAUAAGAACUAGACAAGGAUUUUAAUUCAAGUGCUAUUCCAGAUCAACACAAAGGUAAGUUAAUAAUAAGAUAUUUAAAAAACGGGUCAGUCUAUUUUCACGAUAGUUUCUAUAAUUUCUUUAGCUAUACGAUGAUAAAUCAAGUUUCAGUUGAUUCUGUUUUUGUGAAUUCUCUGAGGGUUUUCAUAGAAUCUCUAAAUUUUAGGAUUCAGCAAUUAUCUUCUCUUUUUUCUAUUACAAUAUGUUCUUUGUUGGUUCACAAGGAUGAAUCUUGUAAGAUAUUUUCUUUGUUGAAUUGAUAAUCAAAUUUGGGUUUCAAUAUAAUUAUUUUUGUGAAAUCCAUGGGAGUUUUUGCUAGAUCUUUAAUGGUUGUGUUUGGUGUUCCUUUUCAUUCAAUGUUUAGCUAUUUUAACGACUGUGUACUUAGAGUGAUAAGUCUCUGUUGUUCGUUUAAUUUUUUGUCUUUAUAAUUGCAUUCUUUGUUAGCGCAUUUGGAUGGAUCUUGAAGUAUUGGACCUUUUGGAUUGAUAAUCAAUCUUGGAUUUUACUGUAAUUGUAUCUGUUCUGUGAAUUUAUAUAUAGGUUGAAUCUUUAAUGGAAUUUGUAUUUGGUUUAAAUACUGAUAAGUUGGGGGGUUUACUUUUCAUUGUAUGUAUAGUUACUAAUUGUAUUUCAAGUGAUCAUGUUCUCUUUGUUUUUUUAAUUUUUAUAUCUUUGGUGCAUUGGCUUGAAUCUCUACAGAUAUUUCCUGGGUUCAAUUUUUGGUUUGCUAAAUUUAUAUGUGAAUUCUCUUUGCAUUUGCGGUGCAUCCUUAACAUAAUGUGUUCCAAGUGAUCAUGUUCUUCCUCUCUCUCUCUUUCUUUUAUUUUUUAUUUGUAUAUCUUUGGUACAUUGGCUUGAAUCUUUAAGAUAUUUCCAGGGUUCAAUUUGCGGUUUGCUAAAUAUAUACGUGAAUUCUAUUUGCAUUUGCGUUGCAUCUUUAACAGAACCAUGCUUUUUGCAUUUGUUUGGAUUGAAUAAGGAUUACUGGUAAGUUGUGGCUUUUCUUUAUGUAUGCUUAUUUCAUCAUUUUUAUUUCUUACUGUGAUAAUGUUCUCUUCAUUAAGUAAUUCAUGUGUUGUUAUGAUUUAGUUCUUUAUGGUAUAUUUGGAUGAAUAUUGAAGGAUCCUUGUGGGUCUUGUUCUUUGGAUGAUGACCAAUCUUGGAUUUCAUGGGAUUUGUUUCUGUGAAUUCUUUGUGGGUUGAAUUUUUAUUUGUGAAUUUAGUGUUUGGUUUAUGGUUCCUUUUUUCAUUCCAUGAAUGGUUAUUUUAAAAAUUAUGUUCUUGUCUUUAUGAUUACAGCAAUUGUGUUCUAAGUGUAUCACGCUCUCUUUGUUUCUCUAAUUUUUAUAUCUUUGGUGCAUUAGUUAGAAUCUAGAAGGAUUUUUUCAACGUUCGGUUUGCUAGAUUUAUUUAUGUAAGUUUUCUAUGCCUUUUCGCUGCAUCUUUAACAGCACUUGUGCUUUUUGUUUUAGGA